UGUUCAUGUCUAUGGGCUCCGGUGAACAAUUAACACCAGCUGGGCCGUGUGCUCGUUCAUUCAUCUAACCAAUAAAAAAGACUACGAACUAUGUGUAAGACUUCAUACAGCUCUAGGCCUUUCAUUUUCUAUUAUAACUCACAACACUAAUAGCCUUAGAUAUCAUCCUAGCGAACCCUCAAUACGAAGGUAGGGGAGCGGGGGGUAGCCCCGGCCGGCGGGUAGCCUCGGCCACCGCAAAUACUAGUGACUCUCGUAGUGUUACCUAUAAGUACGUGUUAUGUCUGUGUGCUUUUACUAUCCAUUCGAAAAAUACUGACAGUUGGAAGUCACCCGACCACGGUGCUCGGACAUAAAUUGAGUAUUUUGUUUUUGGCGGACUGGUUGCGCGGGAUACCAAUUGUUUCGGAGGCUAUUUUUAUUGGAUAAACUGGUACAAUGCCCAAAUUUAGGAAUAGAACUACAAAUCGCGGAGACUGGAGUAAAGAGAAUAUGAAAAAAGCAAUUCAAGCUGUCCUUGACAAAAAAUAUUCUGAAAGAGCAGCCGCAGACCGAUACGAAGUCCCACGUACCUACUUCUUUGCAAGAUCGUAUUAAAGGUAUAAAACAAGGUUAUCAGGUCAGUCUUAAACCAAAAUUAGGACGCUUUGAACAAACAUUCAAACCUGAGUUUGAAAGACAAACUCUGUGAGCAUGUUAUAAAGCUAGAUAACCGUCUUAUGCCUUUAACAAGAAGUGAGUUUUUGCGCCUUGCCUUUGAUUUAGCAGAAAAGCUUCAAAUUCCUCACAGGUUUAACAAGGACAAACGAAUGGCAGGAAAAGAUUUUUUCUGCGAAUUUAAGAAAAUAAAUCCAGAUGUGGCAUUAAGAACUCCUGAGGCAACUAGCUUGAUGCGUUCUACCAAAGGUGCGGUAAAGACACCAAAGGUGCGGUAAAGGUCAAGAGAAACAUAAAAACGAGAAUAAAAGUUAAGAAGGUUGCAUCUCAGCCAGAUUCGUCACAUCAGGAGACGGAAUGCAUUAUUUGCGGUGAAACAUUCGAUGAGGAUUGGAUCCAAUGCAAAAUUGCAAAAUAUGUGAGGACUGGGCUCACGAAGCUUGUGUAGAUUUAAAUCCAUCUCAUUUAUACUAUUACUGUGAUGUAUGUGUUGCCAAAAAACGCACUAAUCUUUAAAUACCUGGGUGGCCGGAGCUACCCGCCAUCUUUAAGGGAUACCAAAAUUUGAUUACUUUUUCAAGUGGCUUUAAUUACAGAGGGAUUAUGUUGUUGUCUGAGUUUUCGAUAUUUAUCUUAAAUAAAUAUAAUGUUGAUUAUUUUUAA
Long non-coding RNA from Bombyx mori (domestic silkworm), 1320 nucleotides. RefSeq lists it as uncharacterized. The record is from RefSeq and is a predicted model, not a curated record. NCBI's taxonomy places the organism in Eukaryota, Metazoa, Arthropoda, Insecta, Lepidoptera, Bombycidae. The transcript has 2 exons.